ACAGAUCGCACCCAGACACUGCAUGAUCAUGUAGAAGACAGCCCUGGUCAGGGACAGCUUCCGUGCCAGCAGUAAACCAAAAGUCACAGCUGGGUUGAUGUGCCCACCUGUUACCAACACCACAUAAUACCAGAUCCACUAAAUAAAAUUGCAUUAAGAAAUUUAAGCAACCUCCAGUACAAAUAUACAACUGAUCAAAGAUUUGAAGAAAAAAAAAAACCAACUUCAAACUCAAAACAACUAAAACAGAGUAAACCUGAUCUGAGAAUUUUACAUGCCCUUAAAAGUUUUUAAGGAUAUACUAAAUAAGUUAGUAAAAAUGGUUAGAGAAAGAUACUACCUAAAAUAGUUCAAAUUCAAAACAAAUCACUAAAAAACUUCAGGAAGAUUAAACCCAUGAAACAGAUCUGAGAAUCCGAGAUAUCCAUAUAAGAUUUUACAAGGAAAUUUGUGAAGAAAAAGGUUAGAGAGAGAUACUAACCAGAAAUACCGGCAGUACAGUAGACAAGAGCAAAGAUCAUGCCACCAAAGGCCCAAGCAAUUCCUUGAAUACCAACAGAAGCACACAUGGAAUCAGAUCUUUUGACACCCAUGACAGUCAGGAUAGUGAUGUAGAGGAACAAGAAGGUAGCAAUGAACUCUGCAAUUCCAGCUCUGUAGAAAGACCAUGACUUGAGCUCUCCGGGCUCAAACAGCGGUGCAGGUGGUGGCUCCUUGUAAUCCUUAUCUGUCUGAGCUGCUGUCCCUAUGGGCUGCCUCUCUGAGAACUUGUUUGCUCCCAGCUUAACAUCCUCUUCUUUCCCCUCCAUUUUCACCCUCAACAAAGCAAGAUUCUUUCUCUGGAGUUUUAAGCUACUGGAC
RNAcentral lists this long non-coding RNA (861 nucleotides) under Carica papaya (papaya). RNAcentral describes it as "long non-coding RNA (CPAP_LNC007611)". The record is from RNAcentral. Lineage: Eukaryota; Viridiplantae; Streptophyta; Magnoliopsida; Brassicales; Caricaceae.